Molecule: transfer RNA, 72 nt
Filed under: Marmota monax (woodchuck)
Lineage: Eukaryota; Metazoa; Chordata; Mammalia; Rodentia; Sciuridae
Description: tRNA.Leu
Rfam family: tRNA
About the family: Transfer RNA (tRNA) molecules are approximately 80 nucleotides in length. Their secondary structure includes four short double-helical elements and three loops (D, anti-codon, and T loops).
Source: RNAcentral
GGGUUGUGGCUCAGUGGUAUAGUGCUUGCCUCAAACGUAUGAGGCACUGGGUUCAAUUCUUAGCACAACUUA